This 74-nucleotide transfer RNA is filed under the name SAR202 cluster bacterium. Its description in RNAcentral is "tRNA-Gln". It matches the Rfam family "tRNA". Rfam says of the family: Transfer RNA (tRNA) molecules are approximately 80 nucleotides in length. Their secondary structure includes four short double-helical elements and three loops (D, anti-codon, and T loops). Further hydrogen bonds mediate the characteristic L-shaped molecular structure. tRNAs have two regions of fundamental functional importance: the anti-codon, which is responsible for specific mRNA codon recognition, and the 3' end, to which the tRNAs corresponding amino acid is attached (by aminoacyl-tRNA synthetases). tRNAs cope with the degeneracy of the genetic code in two manners: having more than one tRNA (with a specific anti-codon) for a particular amino acid; and 'wobble' base-pairing, i.e. permitting non-standard base-pairing at the 3rd anti-codon position. The record is from RNAcentral. Lineage: Bacteria; Bacillati; Chloroflexota; Dehalococcoidia.
AGUGGGAUGGUCCAGCGGCAGGACGUCUGGCCCUGACCCAGAAGGCGUUGGUUCAACUCCAACUCCCACUGCCA